This 253-nucleotide ribosomal RNA is filed under the name uncultured bacterium. RNAcentral describes it as "partial 16S ribosomal RNA". It matches the Rfam family "Bacterial small subunit ribosomal RNA", at positions 524 to 776 of the family's 1533-position model. The record is from RNAcentral.
UACGUAGGGUGCAAGCGUUGUCCGGAAUUAUUGGGCGUAAAGAGCUCGUAGGCGGUUUGUCGCGUCUGCUGUGAAAACCCGAGGCUCAACCUCGGGCCUGCAGUGGGUACGGGCAGACUAGAGUGCGGUAGGGGAGAUUGGAAUUCCUGGUGUAGCGGUGGAAUGCGCAGAUAUCAGGAGGAACACUAAUGGCGAAGGCAGAUCUCUGGGCCGUAACUGACGCUGAGGAGCGAAAGCAUGGGGAGCGAACAGG